Molecule: signal recognition particle RNA, 299 nt
Filed under: Saimiri boliviensis boliviensis (Bolivian squirrel monkey)
Lineage: Eukaryota; Metazoa; Chordata; Mammalia; Primates; Cebidae
Description: Metazoan signal recognition particle RNA (ENSSBOG00000000528.1)
Rfam family: Metazoan signal recognition particle RNA
About the family: The signal recognition particle (SRP) is a universally conserved ribonucleoprotein. It is involved in the co-translational targeting of proteins to membranes. The eukaryotic SRP consists of a 300-nucleotide 7S RNA and six proteins: SRPs 72, 68, 54, 19, 14, and 9.
Source: RNAcentral
ACCAGGCACGGUGGUGCAUGCCUGUAUUCCCAGCUACUCGGGAUGCUGAGGCUGGAGGAUCACUUGAGCCCAGGAGUUCUGGACUGUAGUGCACUAUGCCCAUCGGGUGUCCGCACUAAGUUCAGCAUCAAUAUGGUGACCACCCAGGAGCAGGGGACCACCAGGUUGCCUAAGGAGGGGUGAACCGGCCCAGGUCGGAAAUGGAGCAGGUCAAAACUCCCGUGCUGAUCAGUAGUGGGAUCACGCCUGUGAUUAGCCACUGCACUCCAGCCUGGGCAACAAAGUGAGACCUGGUCUCU